Myotis lucifugus (little brown bat) is the source of this 104-nucleotide small nuclear RNA. The record is from Ensembl. Lineage: Eukaryota; Metazoa; Chordata; Mammalia; Chiroptera; Vespertilionidae.
GUGUUCCCUUCAAUAACACUAAAAUUGAAAAAAAAAUACAGAGAUGAUUAGAAUGGCCCCUGUGCAAAGAUAACAUUAAAAUUCAUGAAGUAUUCAAAAGAAGG